This 871-nucleotide ribosomal RNA is filed under the name uncultured soil bacterium. RNAcentral describes it as "bacterial SSU rRNA". It matches the Rfam family "Bacterial small subunit ribosomal RNA", at positions 56 to 961 of the family's 1533-position model. The record is from RNAcentral.
UGCAGUCGAACGAGAAAGCCCAGCAAUGGGUGAGUAAAGUGGCGUACGGGUGAGUAACACGUGGAUUAUCUACCUCUUAGUGGGGGAUAACUCUGGGAAACCGAAGCUAAUACCGCAUAAGCCUGGAAAGGGAAAGUCGCAAGACGCUGAGAGAGGAGUCCGCGGCCGAUUAGCUAGUUGGCAGGGUAAAAGCCUACCAAGGCUAUGAUCGGUAGCCGGCCUGAGAGGGCACACGGCCACACUGGCACUGAAACACGGGCCAGACUCCUACGGGAGGCAGCAGUGGGGAAUCUUGCACAAUGGGGGCAACCCUGAUGCAGCGACGCCGCGUGAGCGAUGAAGCCCUUCGGGGUGUAAAGCUCUUUCGGCAGGAACGAUAAUGACGGUACCUGAAGAAGAAGCUGCGGCUAACUACGUGCCAGCAGCCGCGGUAAUACGUAGGCAGCAAGCGUUGUUCGGAGUUACUGGGCGUAAAGAGUGUGUAGGUGGUUCUCUAAGUUUGGUGUGAAAUCUCCCGGCUCAACUGGGAGGGUGCGCCGAAAACUGGGGGGCUUGAGUGUGGGAGAGGAAAGCGGAAUUCCUGGUGUAGCGGUGAAAUGCGUAGAUAUCAGGAGGAACACCUGCGGUGUAGACGGCUUUCUGGACCACUACUGACACUGAGACACGAAAGCGUGGGUAGCAAACAGGAUUAGAUACCCUGGUAGUCCACGCCCUAAACGAUGCAUACUUGGUGUGAGCGAUUCAUUUCGUUCGUGCCGGAGCUAACGCGUUAAGUAUGCCGCCUGGGGAGUACGGUCGCAAGGCUGAAACUCAAAGGAAUUGACGGGGGCCCGCACAAGCGGUGGAGCAUGUGGUUUAAUUCGACGCACCG